Molecule: ribosomal RNA, 119 nt
Filed under: Gadus morhua (Atlantic cod)
Lineage: Eukaryota; Metazoa; Chordata; Actinopteri; Gadiformes; Gadidae
Source: RNAcentral
GCUUACGGCCAUACCACCUUGGGCAUGCCCGAUCUUGUCUGAUCUCGGAAGUUAAGCAGGGUCGGGCCUGGUUAGUACUUGGAUGGGUGACCGCCUGGGAAUACCAGGUGCUGUAAGCA